This 483-nucleotide ribosomal RNA is filed under the name uncultured bacterium. Its description in RNAcentral is "bacterial SSU rRNA". It matches the Rfam family "Bacterial small subunit ribosomal RNA", at positions 8 to 518 of the family's 1533-position model. The record is from RNAcentral.
AGAGUUUGAUUCUGGCUCAGGAUGAAUGCUGGCGGCAUGCCUAAUACAUGCAAGUCGAGCGGUAACAGGACUAGCUUGCUAGUUGCUGACGAGCGGCGGACGGCUGAGUAACGCGUGGGAACGGACCCCAAACUGAGGGAUAACGCACCGAAAGGUGUGCUAAUACCGCAUGUGAUCUUCGGAUUAAAGCUUUCGAGCGGUUUGGGACUGGCCUGCGUACGAUUAGAUAGUUGGUGAGGUAAUGGCUCACCAAGUCGACGAUCGUUAGAUGGUUUGAGAGGAUGAUCAUCCAGACUGGGACUGAGACACGGCCCAGACUCCUACGGGAGGCAGCAGUAGGGAAUCUUUCACAAUGGGCGAAAGCCUGAAUGGAGCAAUGCCGCGUGCAGGACGAAGGCCUUCGGGUUGUAAACUGCUUUUAUAAGCGAGGAAUAUGACGGUAACUUAUGAAUAAGGAUCGGCUAACUACGUGCCAGCCGCCGC